UGAUCCUGGCUCAGAACGUACGCUGGCGGCACGCCUAACACAUGCAAGUCGAACGAAGUAGCAAUACUUAGUGGCAGACGGGUGAGUAACAUGUAGGUAUCUGCCCUUUGGCCUGGAAUAACACGAGGAAACUUGUGCUAAUACCGGAUAAGUCUUUACGGAGAAAGCUUUAUGCACCAUUGGAUGAGCCUGCGCUUGAUUAGUUUGUUGGUGGGGUAAUGGCCUACCAAGACUGUGAUCAAUAGCUGAUUUGAGAGGAUAAUCAGCCACAUUGGGACUGAGACACGGCCCAAACUCCUACGGGAGGCAGCAGUGGGGAAUCUUGCACAAUGGAGGAAACUCUGAUGCAGCGAUGCCGCGUGAGUGAAGAAGGCCCUUGGGUUGUAAAGCUCUUUCGUCGGGGAAGAAAAUGACUGUACCCGAAUAAGAAGGUCCGGCUAACUUCGUGCCAGCAGCCGCGGUAAUACGAAGGGACCUAGCGUAGUUCGGAAUUACUGGGCUUAAAGAGUUCGUAGGUGGUUGAAAAAGUUAGUGGUGAAAUCCCAGAGCUUAACUCUGGAACUGCCAUUAAAACUUUUCAGCUAGAGUAUGAUAGAGGAAAGCAGAAUUUCUAGUGUAGAGGUGAAAUUCGUAGAUAUUAGAAAGAAUACCAAUUGCGAAGGCAGCUUUCUGGAUCAUUACUGACACUGAGGAACGAAAGCAUGGGUAGCGAAGAGGAUUAGAUACCCUCGUAGUCCAUGCCGUAAACGAUGUGUGUUAGACGUUGGAAAUUUAUUUUCAGUGUCGCAGGGAAACCGAUAAACACACCGCCUGGGGAGUACGACCGCAAGGUUAAAACUCAAAUGAAUUGACGGGGACCCGCACAAGUAGUGGAGCAUGUGGUUUAAUUCGAAGAUACGCGCAGAACCUUACCAACACUUGACAUGUUCGUCGCGACUCUAAGAGAUUAGAGUUUUCGGUUCGGCCGGACGAAACACAGGUGCUGCAUGGCUGUCGUCAGCUCGUGUCGUGAGAUGAUGGGUUAAGUCCCGCAACGAGCGCAACCCUCACUUUUAGUUGCCAUCAUUAAGUUGGGCACUCUGAAAGAACUGCCAGUGAUAAGCUGGAGGAAGGUGGGGAUGACGUCAAGUCCUCAUGGCCCUUACGUGUUGGGCUACACACGUGCUUCAAUGGUAUCUACAACAGGAAGCAAGACUGCGAAGUUAAGCAAAUCCCUAAAAGAUACCUCAGUUCGGAUUGCACUCUGCAACUCGAGUGCAUGAAGCUGGAAUUACUAGUAAUCGUGGAUCAGCGUGCCACGGUGAAUGCGUUCCCGGGUCUUGUACACACCGCCCGUCACACCAUGGGAGUUGGUUCUACCUUAAGGCAAGGUUUUAAACCCUUGACCACGGUAUAGUCAGCGACUGGGGUGAAGUCGUAACAAGGUAACC
This 1430-nucleotide ribosomal RNA is filed under the name uncultured marine bacterium. RNAcentral describes it as "bacterial SSU rRNA". It matches the Rfam family "Bacterial small subunit ribosomal RNA". The record is from RNAcentral.